UAUAGCUCAGAACACCUAUUGCGUAGGCAGCUGUCUAUACUACAACUGACGCUGAGGCACGAAAGCGUGGGGAGCGAACAGGAUUAGAUACCCUGGUAGUCCACGCUGUAAACGAUGAUCACUCGUUGUUGGCUACUUAGUAGUCAGUGACCAAGGGAAACCGAUAAGUGAUCCACCUGGGGAGUACGUCGGCAACGAUGAAACUCAAAGGAAUUGACGGGGGCCCGCACAAGCGGAGGAACAUGUGGUUUAAUUCGAUGAUACGCGAGGAACCUUACCUGGGCUUAAAUGCUGGCUGCAUUGGAGGGAAACCUUCAUUUCCUACGGGACCGCCAGCAAGGUGCUGCAUGGUUGUCGUCAGCUCGUGCCGUGAGGUGUCGGGUUAAGUCCCAUAACGAGCGCAACCCCUAUCGCUAGUUGCCAGCAUGUAAUGGUGGGGACUCUAGCGAGACUGCCGGUGUAAACCGGAGGAAGGUGGGGAUGACGUCAAAUCAGCACGGCCCUUACGUCCAGGGCUACACACGUGUUACAAUGGCCGGUACAAAGAGCAGCCACCUGGCGACAGGGCGCUAAUCUCUAAAACCGGUCUCAGUUCGGAUCGAAGUCUGCAAUUCGACUUCGUGAAGGUGGAUUCGCUAGUAAUCGCGCAUCAGCCAUGGCGCGGUGAAUAAGUUCCCGGGCAUUGUACACACCGCCCGUCAAGCCAUGGAAGUCGGGGGUACCUGAAGUCCGUAACCGA
RNAcentral lists this ribosomal RNA (739 nucleotides) under uncultured organism. RNAcentral describes it as "bacterial SSU rRNA". It matches the Rfam family "Bacterial small subunit ribosomal RNA", at positions 695 to 1437 of the family's 1533-position model. The record is from RNAcentral.